CUAAAAUGUUGUUCCCAAGAGAUUCCAGGCAUGUGAGCCACAUGGCCAGGGUCACUGCCAAGACCACAGUGUGGUCGUGUCCCUGGAAAGUACAGCCACAGUUCACUCAGGGCUGACAAGAGCCUGGGGGUUCACACUAAGUUCCUUGACCCUCAAGGGCGGAAUCCCACCCGUUUCUCUUGUGCCCAGGUCCAGUGCCCAGUAAAGGGACCGUCCAUGUUGGUAAAUGAAGUAAGUAGGUGUCCCAUGGGGGCACACGUGACAGCGAUUUAGGCCUUCUUACUUCAGGGAUGGAAGCUCAGAUACAAAAGAGCAGAAAUCUGACCGCGGUUCUUGGUU
Molecule: long non-coding RNA, 339 nt
Filed under: Bos taurus (domestic cattle)
Lineage: Eukaryota; Metazoa; Chordata; Mammalia; Artiodactyla; Bovidae
Description: long non-coding RNA NONBTAT015771
Source: RNAcentral